GAGGAAGGUGGAUUUAGAAGCCUAGUUCUGGAGGAGGUGGCAAGGUUUCAGCCGCUGCAAAGCCUCUUUCAAAGAGCAAAAAGAGUAGCAAACAAGAGUUUAUCGUUAAACUCACUGUUUCAGAGGUUUUUCCCCAACAAUCUAACUUCAAGGUGGACUAUGCUGAAUGGAAUAAAAUAAUGGGGCAAAAUGGAAAUCGAAAUAUGCCCCCGAACAACUACUCUUCUCCCAUCCAGUCAGAACAUCUUCCCACUGCCCAGAAAGAAUGUCACUGGAAAGGUGACCUUGACGUCCAACCUGCUUAAGAGGAUGAGUGAAUCACCAAUGGUUUUUCGUUUGUUUAUAUGUACCCCUUUAUCCUCGAAUUCGAGCCUGCAAUUGAUCUCGUGAUUGAAUAAUUCUGCCGACACUUUAACGUUUGCUUAUCUCAAAUAGGUUCGACCGUUUGGAGACUUGUGGCGUGUCUCUAUGUUUUAUUAAAUUUAGCUUCGGUAGACUUCACUCUUUACUACCUCCUUUACUUUUAUUCUCCCAAACUCUUCUGGGCAUGAGUAUUCGAUAUUGGUAACUGUGAAAAGCGAGGUCUUAUUGACCCCGAAGAUGAUUAUAAUUGGAGAUGGUAUAAAAGAUAAUUGGGAAGGUCUCGAAUUUUGCUGGAUGGGUGGAGAAGAUUUUAUCUUCCACCUCUACGAAAUAGAGAACUUGACCUACCUAAGGUCUGUGAAACCCAAGAUAAAAUUAUAAGAUUGGCCACUUUGAAAAGAAAAAAUAAAGAUUCUUUGAGUUUUGCACCAAAGGGUGAUCUUGCCGGUCCUCCGAAGAAUAAGAAAAUACUUAGCAAGAAGAAGACAAAGAAAUAGGGGUGACCGGAGCAGGUCCCAAGUCUGUUCUUCAGCUACUCAAUUUCGACUUCAAAAUGAGCCGAAUGAUACUCCCAUCAUCGUGGAGAACGAUGACGAGGAAAUUCCGGAUGUACAUGUUGAUGAUGCAAUUUCUACUCUAGUUCAAAAAUUAGUUGAUGCUUUGUUUGUUGCUGGUUUUGGAUCUCGGAUCUAGUUUCGAGAUCCGAGACCCACUGGCACCUCUUCCUCGACACCGCUGCCCCGUAUUUCGACUCAUAAUGUCGGUGGUCCUUUCACUGGAAAAAGUGUGGAUCGUGUUGUGAUUGAGGUUUCCAAAGAUGUGAAUCUCUGACCUGCUAAGUUUCCCUUGGUUGAAGAGAUUCAUUGGUCCUCAAGAACAGGAAAAAUUUGAUAAUCAUUCCUCUACUAGUUUGAUUAAAGACAUGAUCCACUCUACUCUUUGGGUACGUUUCUUUUUCUUUCCCUAAAUGUUUUCUUUGAAUUUGACGUUUUGAAUAUUAAAAGAAAUUUAAUCUCAUAGUGUAAUUUGGUUGGCAUGUAAGUGUUAAAGAGAUCAAAUACCUUCCAUGAGAAUAUAAUUGCGGAAGCCUUAGAGCAUCAAGCCAAAUUGGUUAUAGCGAAGUUGGCGAAGAUAAAGGCGGAGAUGAAACAACAAGAAGCCACAUCUGUCGAUCAACAUUCCAAGGCAACAGAAGAGAUCCGGAGUCUCAAACAGUUGCUUGCUCAAAAGGAAGCAUAUUCGGGUAAGCUAGUUUUAGACUUUACCCAAGUCACAGAGGACCUCCGAGUAGCAAAAGACAAUGUGAAAUUUCUUGAAGCAUCUCUUCAUCCAUUAAGAAAAAAUCUUAAUGCUUCUAAAACUGAGAAAGUAGAGCUUCGGGUUGAGAAAGAUCCAAUGGUUGCAAUGUAUAAAGCUCUCACACUCCAAUCCAAGAAUAGUUUGAACAUGAUGUUUUUGUAAACUCUCUUGAAUACGUUGAAGGAUGCUCAAGACGGGGAUUUUGAAAUGGAGGAAAACAUUGAAAAGCUAAGAAAGUAGUAGAGACGGCUCGGGAGGCCAUGAGUUCUUCUACUCCGAAGAAGACUAUGAAGAAGAAGAGGCGGACCCGGACAAUGUCUAAUGAGACUAGUGAAGCUGAGCAUACUGAACUGCAUCCUGCCUCUCCGACUCCUCAAGUUGAUCCUUCCGAAGUUGCUUCGUCAACUUUUCAUUUUGCUUCGGGGGUUCUAAAGUUGCUUGUCCUGGGCAUUGAUCAUGCGUGUUGCUUUAGUUUUUACUUGUUGCUCUUUUUUAUUAUCUGAGUCUUUAUCUAUUGUUUAAUAAAUAUUUCAUACUUUUGUUU
Nicotiana attenuata is the source of this 2206-nucleotide long non-coding RNA. RefSeq lists it as uncharacterized. Lineage: Eukaryota; Viridiplantae; Streptophyta; Magnoliopsida; Solanales; Solanaceae. The record is from RefSeq and is a predicted model, not a curated record. The transcript is spliced from 2 exons.